AAAAAAGCAGGGCCUUAUUGCCUUCCGUGAAUUUGGCGCUCGUAAGCUGCAGGAAAAUUGCUUUCAUUGUUUUUGGGUGAACCUCUGUAGUGGCUAGUGACUUAAGGUUCAGUAAAUGAUGGCACAUUU
Molecule: small nucleolar RNA, 129 nt
Organism: Cephalotus follicularis
Lineage: Eukaryota; Viridiplantae; Streptophyta; Magnoliopsida; Oxalidales; Cephalotaceae
Rfam family: Small nucleolar RNA snoR74
Source: Rfam